GACGAACGCUGGCGGCGUGCUUAACACAUGCAAGUCGAACGGAAAGGCCCUGCUUUUGUGGGGUGCUCGAGUGGCGAACGGGUGAGUAACACGUGAGUAACCUGCCCUUGACUUUGGGAUAACUUCAGGAAACUGGGGCUAAUACCGGAUAGGAGCUCCUGCUGCAUGGUGGGGGUUGGAAAGUUUCGGCGGUUGGGGAUGGACUCGCGGCUUAUCAGCUUGUUGGUGGGGUAGUGGCUUACCAAGGCUUUGACGGGUAGCCGGCCUGAGAGGGUGACCGGCCACAUUGGGACUGGGAUACGGCCCGGACGCCUACGGGGGGCAGCAGUGGGGAUAUUGCACAAUGGGCGGAAGCCUGAUGCAGCAACGCCGCGUGCGGGAUGACGGCCUUCGGGUUGUAAACCGCUUUCGCCUGUGACGAAGCGUGAGUGACGGUAAUGGGUAAAGAAGCACCGGCUAACUACGUG
RNAcentral lists this ribosomal RNA (467 nucleotides) under uncultured bacterium. Its description in RNAcentral is "partial 16S ribosomal RNA". It matches the Rfam family "Bacterial small subunit ribosomal RNA", at positions 28 to 507 of the family's 1533-position model. The record is from RNAcentral.